AGAAUCAACGCUGGCGGCGUGCCUAACACAUGCAAGUCGAACGCGAAAGCCCCGCAAGGGGCAAGUAGAGUGGCAAACGGGUGAGUAACACGUGGGUGACCUGCCUUCGAGCGGGGGAUAACGUCCCGAAAGGGACGCUAAUACCGCAUAACAUCCUGCCUUUGAAGAGGUGGAGAUCAAAGCUGGGGAUCGCAAGACCCGGCACUUGAAGAGGGGCCCGCGCCUGAUUAGCUAGUUGGUGGGUAAUGGCCUACCAAGGCAACGAUCAGUA
Molecule: ribosomal RNA, 271 nt
Filed under: uncultured soil bacterium
Lineage: Bacteria
Description: partial 16S ribosomal RNA
Rfam family: Bacterial small subunit ribosomal RNA
Source: RNAcentral